AUACGGAGGAUGCGAGCGUUGUUCGGAAUUAUUGGGCGUAAAGAGCAUGUAGGCGGUCUGUUAAGUCUGGUGUGAAAGCCCGGGGCUCAACCCCGGAAGUGCAUUGGAUACUGGCAGACUUGAGUAUGGGAGAGGAAAGCGGAAUUCCGAGUGUAGGAGUGAAAUCCGUAGAUAUUCGGAGGAACACCAGUGGCGAAGGCGGCUUUCUGGACCAAUACUGACGCUGAGAUGCGAAAGCGUGGGGAGCGAACAGGAUUAGAAACCCCAGUAGUCC
RNAcentral lists this ribosomal RNA (274 nucleotides) under uncultured bacterium. Its description in RNAcentral is "partial 16S ribosomal RNA". It matches the Rfam family "Bacterial small subunit ribosomal RNA", at positions 523 to 796 of the family's 1533-position model. The record is from RNAcentral.